GACGAAAGCUGGCGGCGUGCUUAACACAUGCAAGUCGAACGAAGUGGCGAACGGGUGAGUAACGCGUAAUGAACCUGCCCUUCAGAGGGGGACAACAGUUGGAAACGACUGCUAAUACCGCAUACUGAAGGAGUGGAUUGCGUCUGCUUAGCUAGUUGGCGGGGUAACGGCCCACCAAGGCGAUGCUCAGUAGUCGGUCUGAGAGGAUGAACGUCCACAUUGGGACUGCGACACGGCCCAGACUCCUAGGGGAGGCAGCAGUGGGGAAUAUUGGUCAAUGGGCGCUAGCCUGAACCAGCCAAGUAGCGUGAAGGAUGAAGGUCUAUGGGUCGUAAACUUCUUUUAUAUAAGAAUAUGUAUUAUAUGAAUAAGGAUCGGCUAACUCAGUGCCAGCAGCCGCGGUAAUAC
Molecule: ribosomal RNA, 408 nt
Filed under: uncultured bacterium
Lineage: Bacteria
Description: partial 16S ribosomal RNA
Rfam family: Bacterial small subunit ribosomal RNA
Source: RNAcentral